This 497-nucleotide ribosomal RNA is filed under the name uncultured bacterium. RNAcentral describes it as "partial 16S ribosomal RNA". It matches the Rfam family "Bacterial small subunit ribosomal RNA", at positions 28 to 507 of the family's 1533-position model. The record is from RNAcentral.
GACGAACGCUGGCGGCGUGCCUAAUACAUGCAAGUCGAGCGGACGGAUGGGAGCUUGCUCCCAGACCGUCAGCGGCGGACGGGUUAGUAACACGUGGGCAACCUUCCUGUAAGACUGGGAUAACUCCGGGAAACCGGGACUAAUACCGGGUAACUCCUUCCCUCAGAUGAGGUAAAUCGUAAAAAUGUCAUCUCGCUAUCCCUUACAGUGGGUCCGCGCCGCCUUUGGUAGUUGGUAAGGGUACGGGUUACCAAGGGGACGAUGCGUAGCCCCCCUGAGAGGGUGAUCGGCCACACUGGGACUGAGACACGGCCCAGACUCCUACGGGAGGCAGCAGUAGGGAAUCUUCCGCAAUGGACGAAAGUUUGACGGAGCAACGCCGCGUGAGUGAUGAAGGUUUUCGGAUCGUAAAACUCUGUUAUCAGGGAAGAACAAGUACCGAAGUAACUGCCGGCAUCUUGACGGUACCUGAUCAGAAAGCCACGGCUAACUACGUG